GUAGGUGGCAAGCGUUGUCCGGAAUUAUUGGGCGUAAAGCGCGCGCAGGCGGUUCUUUAAGUCUGAUGUGAAAGCCCACGGGCUCAACCGUGGAGGGUCAUUGGAAACUGGAGAACUUGAGUACAGAAGAGGAAAGCGGAAUUCCACGUGUAGCGGUGAAAUUCGUAGAGAUGUGGAGGAACACCAGUGGCGAAGGCGGCUUUCUGGUCUGUAACUGACGCUGAGGCGCGAAAGCGUGGGGAGCAAACAGGAUUAGAUACCCUGGUAGUCCACGCCGUAAACGAUGAGUGCUAAGUGUUAGGGGGUUUCCGCCCCUUAGUGCUGCAGCUAACGCAUUAAGCACUCCGCCUGGGGAGUACGGCCGCAAAGGCUG
Molecule: ribosomal RNA, 373 nt
Filed under: uncultured organism
Description: partial 16S ribosomal RNA
Rfam family: Bacterial small subunit ribosomal RNA
Source: RNAcentral